AUCCAGCAGACGAGUCCCAAAUAGGACAAAAUACGCGUCCUGGAU
This is a non-coding RNA of Schistosoma haematobium, 45 nucleotides long. NCBI's taxonomy places the organism in Eukaryota, Metazoa, Platyhelminthes, Trematoda, Strigeidida, Schistosomatidae. The record is from Rfam.